GCUGAUUUUUAAAUAAAUAAAAAAGAUAAAACUAUUGAACCAUAAACUUCGCAGUUGUGAACAAAUUCUCCUCAUUUAUGCGUGUUCUUAAAUACAUGGUUAGCGUACACGGUGUACACGAUUGCUUUUUUUUUUUUUGAAUUGGAGAUGUUAUAAUGAUAAUUUUAUAUAUACUUAAGGAUAUUAAUUUAAUGAUUGAGAUCAUUAUUGGGUGAAUAACCUUACUUAAGGUAUGAAAUUGUUAAAUUUGUAUGCGUGUUCUUACAUACACGAUUGGCGUACACGGUGUACACGAUCCAUGUAGCAAAGAAUCCUAAAACGUGUGUGAUAUUGUUUUCUGUAAUUUUGCUUGAUAAAAUUUG
RNAcentral lists this long non-coding RNA (362 nucleotides) under Salvia miltiorrhiza (redroot sage). RNAcentral describes it as "long non-coding RNA (SMIL_LNC011185)". The record is from RNAcentral. Lineage: Eukaryota; Viridiplantae; Streptophyta; Magnoliopsida; Lamiales; Lamiaceae.